RNAcentral lists this ribosomal RNA (253 nucleotides) under uncultured bacterium. RNAcentral describes it as "partial 16S ribosomal RNA". It matches the Rfam family "Bacterial small subunit ribosomal RNA", at positions 524 to 776 of the family's 1533-position model. The record is from RNAcentral.
UACGUAGGUGGCAAGCGUUGUCCGGAUUUAUUGGGUUUAAAGGGUGCGUAGGCGGCCAUGUAAGUCAGUUGUGAAAUACCCCGGCUCAACCGGGGGGGUGCGAUUGAUACUGCGUGGCUUGAGUGGCAGCGAGGUUGGCGGAAUUGACGGUGUAGCGGUGAAAUGCAUAGAUAUCGUCAAGAACACCGAUAGCGAAGGCAGCCAACUAGGGGCCAACUGACGCUGAGGCACGAAAGUGCGGGGAUCAAACAGG